AGCAACCUUUAAGUGCAAUAUAUAUAUUUCUAAGAUGAAGAUAAUGUAUGGUAAUGAAGAUUUGGAGCAGCAAGAGUGUGUAGUAUGGGGUCUUGCUUACCUCAUUCAAGGAAUAACAAUGAAAGACAGGGGUCAUUGAUUUCGAAAAACUCCGCCUCUUUGUUCGCCUUCUUCCUGAUUUUAAGUUACAGUGAGUCAAUUUCCUUUUUCUGAUUCUAAUCGAUUAAGAACUAUACGUGAUUAACCAACGAAUUGUGGUAGAUUUUAUGUUUCUAUUGCAGUAUUUGGAUUGAAUUGACUGUUGCAA
This is a long non-coding RNA of Helianthus annuus (common sunflower), 307 nucleotides long. RefSeq lists it as uncharacterized. Lineage: Eukaryota; Viridiplantae; Streptophyta; Magnoliopsida; Asterales; Asteraceae. The transcript is spliced from 2 exons. The record is from RefSeq and is a predicted model, not a curated record.